UACAGAGGGGGCAAGCGUUAUUCGGAAUUAUUGGGCGUAAAGAGCGUGUAGGCGGUCAGGUAGGUCGGUUGUGAAAACUGGAGGCUCAACCUUCAGAGGUCGACCGAAACCCCCUGGCUAGAGUCCGGGAGAGGAGAGUGGAAUUCCUGGUGUAGCGGUGAAAUGCGCAGAUAUCAGGAAGAACACCCGUGGCGAAAGCGGCUCUCUGGAACGGUACUGACGCUGAGACGCGAAAGCGUGGGGAGCGAACAGG
This 253-nucleotide ribosomal RNA is filed under the name uncultured bacterium. RNAcentral's name for it is "partial 16S ribosomal RNA". It matches the Rfam family "Bacterial small subunit ribosomal RNA", at positions 524 to 776 of the family's 1533-position model. The record is from RNAcentral.